GAUGAACGCUGGCGGCGUGCCUAAUACAUGCAAGUCGAGCGAACGGACGAGAAGCUUGCUUCUCUGAUGUUAGCGGCGGACGGGUGAGUAACACGUGGAUAACCUACCUAUAAGACUGGGAUAACUUCGGGAAACCGGAGCUAAUACCGGAUAAUAUUUUGAACCGCAUGGUUCAGAAGUGAAAGACGGUCUUGCUGUCACUUAUAGAUGGAUCCGCGCUGCAUUAGCUAGUUGGUAAGGUAACGGCUUACCAAGGCAACGAUGCAUAGCCGACCUGAGAGGGUGAUCGGCCACACUGGAACUGAGAAACGGUCCAGACUCCUACGGGAGGCAGCAGUAGGGAAUCUUCCGCAAUGGGCGAAAGCCUGACGGAGCAACGCCGCGUGAGUGAUGAAGGUCUUCGGAUCGUAAAACGCUGUUAUUAGGGAAGAACAUAUGUGUAAGUAACUGUGCACAUCUUGACGGUACCUAAUCAGAAAGCCACGGCUAACUACGUG
This 497-nucleotide ribosomal RNA is filed under the name uncultured bacterium. Its description in RNAcentral is "partial 16S ribosomal RNA". It matches the Rfam family "Bacterial small subunit ribosomal RNA", at positions 28 to 507 of the family's 1533-position model. The record is from RNAcentral.